This 440-nucleotide ribosomal RNA is filed under the name uncultured bacterium. Its description in RNAcentral is "partial 16S ribosomal RNA". It matches the Rfam family "Bacterial small subunit ribosomal RNA", at positions 338 to 795 of the family's 1533-position model. The record is from RNAcentral.
CCUACGGGUGGCAGCAGUGGGGGAUAUUGCACAAUGGGGGGAACCCUGAUGCAGCGACGCCGCGUGGGUGAAGAAGCGCCUCGGCGCGUAAAGCCCUGUCAGCAGGGAAGAAAAUGACGGUACCUGAAGACGAAGCCCCGGCUAACUACGUGCCAGCAGCCGCGGUAAUACGUAGGGGGCAAGCGUUAUCCGGAUUUACUGGGUGUAAAGGGGGCGCAGACGGCGAUGCAAGCCAGGAGUGAAAGCCCGGGGCCCAACCCCGGGACUGCUCUUGGAACUGCGGGGCUGGAGUGCAGGAGGGGCAGGCGGAAUUCCUGGUGUAGCGGUGAAAUGCGUAGAUAUCACGAAGAACUCCGAUUGCGAAGGCAGCUUACUAAACUGCCACUGACAUUGAUGCUCGAAAGUGUGGGUAUCAAACAGGAUUAGAUACCCGAGUAGUC